Molecule: non-coding RNA, 290 nt
Organism: Pelobates cultripes (western spadefoot toad)
Lineage: Eukaryota; Metazoa; Chordata; Amphibia; Anura; Pelobatidae
Source: the annotation of a GenBank genome assembly
AAUAUUGGGGCAUAUAAAAAAAGACAACUCUGUUCCGCAGAGUAGCUGUUGACUUUAUAGUUGCGCAGGAACUUUGUUGACUCUAGAGAACCUCUGGCAAAUCGCACAUCCCCAUGGCGGCGACUUUGCAUGCGGAUGUCAUCCAUAUCAACUUUCGAUGCCAGUUUCUGCGCCUUCAGGUAAUGGGAAAUCAGGAUUCCAUUCUGUACAGGGACCCUGAGAAACGGAUACCACAUACAAGGAAGGCAGCAGGCGCGCAAAUGACCUACUCCCGACACGGGACGGUAGUU